AAGUCGUAACAAGGUUUCCGUAGGUGAACCUGCGGAAGGAUCAUUAACACGUAUCCAACGUUAAACCCCCUGUGAACCUUCAUUGUACGAGUUACAUCCACGUCAUAAACCGGCAAUCUCUGGUAAAUCAUCGCCGAACAGUUUUGAUUCAGAGACCUCUGGGAAGGGUGUACGGUAGUGCGAGGCAAUUGACCUGGCAUUCCUCUGCUUGUUAGUGUCUGAAAGUGUCACUAGCUAUGUACGGAUGGCGCAGUAACGAUCGCUGGAGGCCGACACGGCCGGCGACCAGGUCACUGGGCUACGGCCCCCCUGAUCACAACCUUUGCAUGAAAACCCCUAAUGCUUGAACAACUGUUAACAAUGGAUAUCUUGGUUCUC
RNAcentral lists this unclassified non-coding RNA (378 nucleotides) under fungal sp. RNAcentral describes it as "partial internal transcribed spacer region". The stretch from base 1 to 46 matches the Rfam family "Eukaryotic small subunit ribosomal RNA", at positions 1786 to 1831 of the family's 1831-position model. The record is from RNAcentral. Lineage: Eukaryota; Fungi.